Molecule: non-coding RNA, 395 nt
Organism: Ictidomys tridecemlineatus (thirteen-lined ground squirrel)
Lineage: Eukaryota; Metazoa; Chordata; Mammalia; Rodentia; Sciuridae
Source: RefSeq, a predicted model, not a curated record
GCCAGGUCAAGGGAAGCCACUGCUGGGAGCCAGGACCUGGGCGAGGUCAGGAAACUCACAGGAGAGGUGAGCAAGGCCAAGUAUGGCGCCGUCUCCUCUAGGUCUGAAGAAUGCAAGUAAAGGAGGCUGGUGGCAAGUUCUUCGCUGGGAGAGACAGCCAGAGUUGUCAGCUGCCACUUACUACUUCAGCAUGGCCCUAUUGUGAAGCGAGGCCCCGGGGAGGACCCUGUGCUGCCAUCUUGAACAUGCAGCCAAGCAGGGCCUUCAGAUGCCCACAGUCUCAGCUGCCCUCUGACCGCACCUGCAGGGGGACCCCCAGGAAGAACCCACCAGCUGAGGCCCACCAACCCACACAACCAUGGGAGGUGAAAAUAAAUUAUUGUUUUAAGCCACUA